Molecule: long non-coding RNA, 1932 nt
Filed under: Salmo salar (Atlantic salmon)
Lineage: Eukaryota; Metazoa; Chordata; Actinopteri; Salmoniformes; Salmonidae
Description: lncRNA (ENSSSAG00000090639.1)
Source: RNAcentral
AGUCUCUAGGGACAGGAUCACAUGGGUCACUAGGGGUGGGAUCACUAGGGGUAGGUUCAGGAUCACUAGGGGUAGGUUCACUAUGUUGUGUGUUACCCUCAGAAACAGUGGAGAGACUCGUCCUGCCCAUCUAGCAUCAUCAGCAGGGCAAAGUUCUCUCUCCACUCUGCUUCUGUAGCCUGGGGAGGUGGGGAUCCACAAAAACACACACAGAAAUUCAUUUUAUUCAAAACAGCAUUUUACUUCCUUAAUUACAGUUAAAUACGAGUUUUAAUUGCAAUAACAUGGAUGUUUUUUUGUUCUACUUUGUCAAAAUGCAUUCAUUAUUAAUUAAAUUGUGCAUUUUGAGAGUUAACACAUUGAAAACAAACAGCAAUUAAAGUUUUGAACUUCAUGACCCAGACUGAAACAAACAGGAACAGGAGUGGGCAACACAGCAGAGUUGUUUUCCCUCUCUGAAACAGGUUUCAACUGGUUGACACACACUGUGCAAAAAUGGCCUACAUGGACUUGCAGUACAGUUAAAAUAUUUAUUACAAACAUGCAAAAUAGCAGCUUUAACAAUGUCCUAUAUAAAAACAUUUCAACAUAAAAUAGCCAUAAAAUUCAUUCAUUUGCUUAGAAAUAUAGAAUUUGUUUCAAACAAGGUCAGAGGGUAGGCAGCCACAAUGCUGUCCUAUGUAAUGUAGUCAAUGAGGUUAUGUCGUAAGACAAAUGACAAUUGGUCAGUAGCUUGAGAGACUGCAUGAGUUGAAGAGAAUGGUACAGUAUGUUACAGCUGCAAAAUAUAGAAAGUGUGAGUGAGUCAGUCUCUUUCUGUGAUGAUACGUGGAGUGUGUGAGUGAGUCAGUCUCUUUCUGUGAUGAUACGUGGAGUGUGUGAGUGAGCCAGUCUCUUUCUGUGAUGAUACGUAGAGUGUGUGAGUGAGCCAGUCUCUUUCUGUGAUGAUACGUGGAGUGUGUGAGUGAGUCAGUCUCUUUCUGUGAGAAUACGUGGAGUGUGUGAGUGAGUCAGUCUCUUUCUGUGAUGAUACGUGGAGUGUGUGUGUGAGCCAGUCUCUUUCUGUGAUGAUACGUGGAGUGUGUGAAUGAGUCAGUCUCUUUCUGUGAUGAUACGUGGAGUGUGUGAGUGAGCCAGUCUCUUUCUGUGAUGAUACGUGGAGUGUGUGAGUGAGCCAGUCUCUUUCUGUGAUGAUACGUAGAGUGUGUGAGUGAGCCAGUCUCUUUCUGUGAUGAUACGUGGAGUGUGUGAGUGAGUCAGUCUCUUUCUGUGAGAAUACGUGGAGUGUGUGAGUGAGUCAGUCUCUUUCUGUGAUGAUACGUGGAGUGUGUGUGUGAGCCAGUCUCUUUCUGUGAUGAUACGUGGAGUGUGUGAGCCAGUCUCUUUCUGUGAUGAUACGUGGAGUGUGUGAGUCAGUCUCUUUCUGUGAUGAUACGUGGAGUGUGUGAGUCAGUCUCUUUCUGUGAUGAUACAUGGAGUGUGUGAGUGAGUCAGUCUCUUUCUGUGAUGAUACGUGGAGUGUGUGAGUCAGUCUCUUUCUGUGAUGAUACAUGGAGUGUGUGAGUGAGCCAGUCUCUUUCUGUGAUGAUACGUGGAGUGUCUGAGUGAGACAGUCUCUUUCUGUGAUGAUACGUGGAGUGUGUGAUUCAUCAGUCUCUUUCUGUGAUGAUACGUGGAGUGUGUGAGCCAGUCUCUUUCUGUGAUGAUACGUGGAGUGUGUGAGUGAGUCAGUCUCUUUCUUUAAUGAUACGUGGAGUGUGUGAGUCAGUCUCUUUCUGUGAUGAUACGUGGAGUGUGUGAGUGAGUCAGUCUCUUUCUGUGAUGAUACGUGGAGUGUGUGAGUGAGUCUCUUUCUGUGAUGAUACGUGGAGUGUGUGAGUGAGUCAGUCUCUUUCUGUGAUGAUACGUGGAGUGUGUGAGUCAGUCUCUUUC